RNAcentral lists this long non-coding RNA (318 nucleotides) under Anas platyrhynchos (mallard). Its description in RNAcentral is "lncRNA (ENSAPLG00020013227.1)". The record is from RNAcentral. Lineage: Eukaryota; Metazoa; Chordata; Aves; Anseriformes; Anatidae.
GCAUGUCUCCAUCCAGGGAGGUUCCCUGAGGGUCUCCCAGCAGAGGAUGGUUCUGCUGAAAGCCCCAGGUCUGUGGACUGCGAUACAGACAGACAAAACUACCUACAAGCCUGGGCAAACUGUGAAGUUUCGAAUUCUCCAUUUGGAGGAGGACUUCAGUCCCAGUGACAGAAAGCUUCCCUUGGUGACCGUGACUGAUUUCGGAGGGAGAACCAUCGCGUCAUGGCAGGAUGUGAGCCUGCAGCAGGGCAUUGUGGACCUGUCCCUCCCGCUGGCCCACUCAUCCCUUGGCAGGUUACAUCAUCACGGUGGAACAGA